Long non-coding RNA from Oncorhynchus tshawytscha (Chinook salmon), 478 nucleotides. The record is from Ensembl. Lineage: Eukaryota; Metazoa; Chordata; Actinopteri; Salmoniformes; Salmonidae.
GCAGGGAUGAGAGUUGAGGGUGGUUGUAAUAGCAGCGAUGAGAGGUAAGGGUGGUUGUAAUAGCAGGGAUGAGAGUUGAGGGUGGUUGUAAUAGCAGGGAUGAGAGUUGAGGGUGGGUGUAAUAGCAGGGAUGAGAGUUGAGGGUGGGUGUAAUAGCAGGGAUGAGAGGUGAGGGUGGUUGUAAUAGCAGGGAUGAGAGGUAAGGGUGGUUGUAAUAGCAUGGAUGAGAGGUGAGGGUAGAUUAAAUAGCAGGGAUGAGAGGUGAGGGUGGUUGUAAUUGCAGGGAUGAGAGGUAAGGGUGGUUGUAAUAGCAGGGAUGAGAGGUGAGGGUGGUUGUAAUAGCAGGGAUGAGAGGUGAGGGUGGUUGUAAUAUCAGGGAUGAGGGGUGAGGGUGGUUGUAAUAUCAGGGAUGAGGGGUAAGGGUGGUUGUAAUAGCAGGGAUGAGAGGUGAGGGUGGUUGUAAUAGCAGGGAUGAGAG